AACGCACAUUGCGCCCUUCGGUAUUCCGUUGGGCAUGCCUGUUCGAGCGUCAUUUAAGCAUUCAAGCUCAGCUUGGUGUUGGGUGCUUGUCCUCCCCCGCGGUGGACUCACCUCAAAUGCAUUGGCGGCCGGUAUGUUGGCUUCGAGCGCAGUAGAAACGCGCCAGACGUCCUGACAUGCUGGUCCCCCACAAGACCAUUCUUUAUAGCUUGACCUCGGAUCAGGUAGGGAUACCCGCUGAACUUAA
This 247-nucleotide unclassified non-coding RNA is filed under the name uncultured fungus. Its description in RNAcentral is "partial contains 5.8S ribosomal RNA, internal transcribed spacer 2, and large subunit ribosomal RNA". Lineage: Eukaryota; Fungi. The record is from RNAcentral.